Corapipo altera (White-ruffed manakin) is the source of this 2335-nucleotide long non-coding RNA. RefSeq lists it as uncharacterized. The record is from RefSeq and is a predicted model, not a curated record. The transcript has 5 exons. NCBI's taxonomy places the organism in Eukaryota, Metazoa, Chordata, Aves, Passeriformes, Pipridae.
AGGCUGCCCCAUAUUGCUCUACCUCAUUUUCCUCUCAGGAGGGAUUCAGUGCGCUGUGGGUGUGGUGCUGGCCCCGGGUGUGCGGUGCAGUGAUCAGCUGGUCAAAGAAUCGCAGGAUGGGUCAGGUUGGAAGGGACAUCUGGUCAGUGGAGUCAUCUGGUCCCACCUCCCUGCUCCAGCAGGGUCAUCCCAGAGCACGUGGCACAGGAUCGCACCCAGACGGUUCUGGAAUAUCUCCAGUGACAGUUCUGGGAGACUCCACACCCUCUCUGGACAAUCUGUCCCAGUGCUUGGUCACUGCACAGCAUUGUCUUUGUGCUCGCUUCAUCGACUGCACUGUAAUAACCAGUUUCUCAUUUCUUUUUGCACACAAAAAACACGUGCAGGUACAUGAGCCUACAGGAUGUUGAAGGUGACGCUCUCUGGAGCUCUCAGGUGACCUCAUUGAUAAAGCUGCCUAAUCAAAUUAAGUGCCCUGUGACUUCAGUGAGUUGCCGGUGGGCUGGGAAAGGACUCAUAAUGGAGCAGGAUCACAGCAGGAAGAACUCCCGCUGUGCCUUAUUCAAUUACUCACGGUCAGGGUGAAGGUCGCUACCCCCUGGGCAGAGGUGCCUGCUGGAAGCUGCCUCAUCACCUUUCUGCUGAUGCUGGGAGCUCACAUGCUACUUGAGUAUCCCUUGAUACCUUGGUGUGAUAAAACACUGACUACAUCCUGCUCCUCCCAUCCUGCUCUCCUUCCCACCUCUGUGUACUCCUCACUUUUUGCCUGUGCCUCCCAAUAACCAAGUUGUUCAGUGAUACACUUUUUAAGAGAAAUAUUAGCAGUGCUGUCUUGCUGACCUCACAGCUGGAACCAGUCCCUCUCAGGCUGGUGCUUUUCAGAGACGCUCACUUAAAAAUUAAUUUUUCAAGAUAGCGUAAAUCAUCCGCUGUCCUCAUAUGACAAAUGCUGCAACACUCUACGGCUAAAUUGCCCUUUUUUACUUAUCAGCUGCUGCAUCCAUCAUUUCCAAUAAAAAUAAAGCCAGCAGUUAUCUCUGGCAAGAGCAUGUUGUGUCACCAGUCGUGCUGAGAAAAGGAAGUGGUGUCUGCUCAGGUCAGCAGGAAUGGCUUGUUGCAGGGUAGGAGAACUUAAAUGCUCAGAAAGCUGCUUGAGAAACUGACUCAUCAGUUUUAAAUAUCUCACCUUUUAUUGCGGGCUUCUGAGGAUGUUAGUGGGGAUGCCUAGAUCUAAAAUGGCUCCAGAUACAAAUGAAAACUGGAUGAAAACCCAGCAGUAACUUCAUUCCUCAAAGCAUGGAGAGAGAAGUGUUGGUGGCUGAGGUGGUGGAUCUAGGAGUGGGGCAGCGUCCUCUUCUGCUCCAGCAUCCAUCUGUGUAAAGAGACACUGAAAGGUGAAACUCUCUGAUCCUCCCCUGCUUGUCUCUUGGCACGUGCAGUCCACUUUGCUCACUCACUAAAAGCCUCAGGGGCUUUUUCUAUCUGCAGCAUCUGGUGUUCUUAAAUUGAUGAGAAAGGUGGCUGGUUCCUGGGGAGGUCAUCUUGGGAAAGAGUACUGAAGCAGAGGGAAAGUUUUACAAUAUAUAGGAGCCUGGAUUACAAGGACAUGGUAAAAGGCUUCACAGCAGUAUUUUGUGGAAGUUCAGCUGCCUGCUUGCCUCAGUGGGUGUUACUGUUCUUCAAUUUCCAGAAAAAAACAAUCCCUGUGUCUGCGCUCGGAAGGAGCUGGAAUGUGAAGUAACACAGGCAGAGGAGGAGAAUCGGAGCUGACAGUGAAAAGGGAGCCUGGCAGCCUGGGCUCUGCCUGUAGGCAGAGUUUUUCUUCACUUGAUAUUUCACUAUUUCAGUAGUUUAUUAUGGACGAGGAACAUCUCCAAAAUGGUGCAGGAAGUUUUGUCAUGCCGGAAGCAGAGGGUGCGUGUGACCACAUGGCCACCUCUGUGCCAUGACCUGGAGUGUGUUCCCACAUCGAGCGGCACCAGUGUGGAGUGAUGUCCACCUGGGAAAUCCAUCCCUGAGGUGUUGACAAGGAUAAUUUUUGGGGUGUUUCUUUUCCAUCUAUGUGAUGUAAAGAAACAGUUGAACAAAUGAUUGUGGUGGGUGUAAUGCUGAAGAAAAAAGGCACCAAAACCGUUUUGUGGGAACCUAUGAAAUCCCUGGAGUUACUGAGAAUUUCCUCUUCCCUUCAACUGGAAUGAACUUGAAGAAAUCACAUCAUUGGUGGUAUAUCCUGUGAUUUAUGUAGUGUAAUUUAUGUAGUGUAAUUGCUGGAGUGCUGCAUCAUGCCUUCAGCUUGCUGAAGAACACACAUAAACCUUGACUGAAUUUAGUUCAA